CCUACGGGGGGCAGCAGUGAGGAAUAUUGGUCAAUGGACGAGAGUCUGAACCAGCCAAGUAGCGUGAAGGAUGACUGCCCUAUGGGUUGUAAACUUCUUUUAUAAAGGAAUAAAACGAGGCACGUGUGCCUUUUGCAUGUACUUUAUGAAUAAGGAUCGGCUAACUCCGUGCCAGCAGCCGCGGUAAUACGGAGGAUCCGAGCGUUAUCCGGAUUUAUUGGGUUUAAAGGGAGCGUAGAUGGGUUGUUAAGUCAGUGGUGAAAGUUUGCGGCUCAACCCGGGCCUUGCAGCGCGAACUGGCGUGCUUGAGUCCGCGGAAGGCAGGCGGAAUUCGUCGUGUAGCGGUGAAAUGCUUAGAUAUGACGAAGAACCCCGAUUGCGAAGGCAGCUUGCUGCAGCGGAACUGACGCUGAUGCUCGAAAGCGCGGGUAUCGAACAGGAUUAGAUACCCUUGUAGUC
This 459-nucleotide ribosomal RNA is filed under the name uncultured bacterium. RNAcentral's name for it is "partial 16S ribosomal RNA". It matches the Rfam family "Bacterial small subunit ribosomal RNA", at positions 338 to 795 of the family's 1533-position model. The record is from RNAcentral.